This 851-nucleotide long non-coding RNA is filed under the name Gallus gallus (chicken). RNAcentral's name for it is "lncRNA (ENSGALG00010028323.1)". Lineage: Eukaryota; Metazoa; Chordata; Aves; Galliformes; Phasianidae. The record is from RNAcentral.
GGAAAAGAAAGCCAAAUCAAACGUGUUUCUACGUGUAGGGGAACUGUUGAGUCAUGGCCUGAACCACUGAUUGAGCACCUGGGGAAAGGACCCGGUCAGCACUGAGAGCACCCGUGAAGGCAAUUCAGCUGUGUGACAGGAAGGGAUGGAGUCUGGCUGCACCUCUCUUUGACCUCAUUUAAGGGCUGACUGCCACUGGGGAAGGAUCUCUUUCUGGAGAUCUGUCCUUGGUGAAGCUUUCCCCUGUGAACCUGGAGUCUUCUGGUACAGCCAUAAGUGAGAUGACUGACUUAAGAGGAUCACUGGCUAAAAAACCAUCAGAAAUCAAACUUCAGCAGGCAUGAAGAGUACAGUCAGUAUGAAGCAAGCAGUGGCCUCAAGGGAGCAGCAUGAAGGCAAGGCGAGCACACGGUGAUACUUUUCAGAGUCCUCUCCCAGAUUUCAGUGAUCUGCAGCAGAGUGGAGGUCUUGCAGCGUGCUUAGCUUGCUCAAAUCUAAGUGCUCUCGUCAUGGUGCUGUUUGAAAGAACUAAGCUUCCAUCACUUGAAAAAUGGUGUGAACGUGGGGGUCGGGCUGGAUGGAGAACAACAUAUAAGAAAACUCAGAGCAGUGCUGCAAUUCAGUUUAAACCUUGAUUGGAAAAGGCCAUUCAUUUGUAGUCUGCUGAGUUUAAGAAGCAGAAAAAUACAAGAAUUGCACACCGGGGAGACAGAAAAUACCUUCUCAGCCCAGCCCACCUUCUCUGCUGAAUGUGCAAAGGGACUUCAGGAGUGAUGGCAUGGAGGAUGCUCACAGCAAAUAGCUCUUGGGGAAGAGCCAGUGCACCUUGGUUUGUCCAGCAUGUGUGGAAC